UUAACUGUUUAUAAACAAAAAAAUAAGCUUAAAAGUGUCUAUCAUGUGGAUAUGUGGUGUGAAUUUAAAAAACGUUGGAUGACACUUGGGGUGCUUUUUUCAACAGCAAUGGCGGUUUUGGCGCCAAAGUUCGGUGCAAACGGAGGCAAUACUGCAUGAUCAAUUAGUUCUAGGCUCUAGCAUUGCACAUUAGCCAUGUCAUCUGCAUAUGGAGUAUCUAUCAUACAUACCGCUGAGCUGCAUCUACUACAACGCUGGGCGUACAGAAGUCAAGCUAGGGCGGCCGAGAUUACAUCUUAUGACGUCAUUUCACAGCAACAUCGCCAGCGUGGUGCUGUGUGCUGUUGCAGUCAACGCUAUGUCUAGCGCGAUUGACAGACGUGUUAUGGAAGGGGCGAUUCUGACGAGUGUAAGUAGCCCUUGUUUCUGGCUACCGUAUACUUUACAGUCCAGUAGUUUAUUGGCUACCGUGUCUGCUACUAACUACUUGGUUUCGCUGCUGUUCGUGCCAGUAACGCAUCUACUACUGUGUGGUAAGAUUCCACUGCCUAACUACGAGGAGUUGAAAGCUGUUGCUAUGACCGCCUUUCUUCCGUACCUGAUGGGGAGUCUGUCAUGUAAAGAAGAAACAGUGCCGCUGUCAAGCAAGGUAUCAUCUUUAGUGCUGCUUUACAACGAAUGCUGCACGCUGUUUACAGAAGCUGAGGGCAUCUUGUACGUUGCUGAUGUGUGUUCCACUCUCGUUCUAGUAUCAAUAUGGCUCAUCACGGUAGCAGUAUCCAGCUACUUAUACGUACGCUGCGGAGUGUUGAGUAACAAAGAAGCGAAGGUACUACUCCUGGUGUCAACUCCGAAGUCCACACAAGUCGGUUGGAUAAUGUCCACUUGCCCAGUGGUGGGCUUGUACAGACUGCCCGCAGUGUUUAUAGCGCCGACACAGGCUUUGCUAUUAUCUGUAAUUUAUACCGAUCCUGACUUUGCUGAUGUAACCAUCUAGCAUUAAAAAUAAACAUUCGUAUCUUUAUAUAGUAAGGAAGAGAGGGUAAUUGAAGAAAGUAUCUACUAGAAGUGACAUAGCCGCGUUAAACAUGUCGCCUCACAGGUGACUCAUAGACCACCAUCGGGUAAUAGUGGUUUAGUACUGAUCAGAAUGACGGACGUGAAACAAAGCGUAAAUAUCUCACGGAAAGUGUUCCGAAGAGCUGUUUCACCUGAUUCCUGCUACCGAAUUCCACCUUCUCACGAUACGCUACAAAGUAGGAUAUCAUCCCCACCAUAUGGAUGUGUGGAGUCCACAGAUCAGUUUUCAAGGAAAUUUCUUCCACGUACAAAUCAUGCUGUGGAAAGAGCUUCUUUUAGUGGUGUUUCCAGAAUGUAAAAAUUAAUAGCGCGUACACCUUUCUAAGAGCCUCGCUCUUGUGAUUCCUCUGGUGUUGCAAGAGAAUGUGAGCGGCGGUGAUCACUUAACACCAGGUGACCCGUACGCUCGCUAGUCAUCCUCUUCUAUUACGUUAGUACAAAUUAGUAAAUAUAUAUUAUUAUUGAAUAAAUUAGUAAAUUAAGCUCAUAAUUGCUCACAGCUGAAGGAGAACCCUCUUGAAAAUAUUAUACCAUGAAUGUCUGUAGAUCUAAUAAAGAAGUUAUUUUGCUAGAUUUUAUGGUGCUUGUCUGCAGUCCUUUAAUAACACCUAACCUAUAACUUUAGGGAGUUGGGGAUGGCUGAAAACCAGGGCAUCUGGGAAUGACUUUGGUCUAUGAGCUUUCAGAUAAGCACAAAAAUUUAGGUAAAAGUUUGACGGUUUUUGAAUUAUUGAGCUUAUUUGAAAUAUGGAAAAAGUCCGCUGUAGCGGACCCGCGGUAUCACUGGUAACCAUACAUGGUUGCUAUUUAUUACUCUAAAAUCGGUCAAAUGUGUAAGUAAGUAAUGUGUAAGCAUUACUGUGUUUCGGUCUGAAGGACGCGUAUCUAGUGAAAUUAAUGGGCAAAUGAGACUUAACAUCUUAUGUCUCAAGGUGACGACCGCAGUUGUAGUGCCGCUCAGAAAAUUUGGGUUUUACAAGAAUCCUGAGCGGCACUGAAUUGUAAUGGGAAUAAAUUGUAAUGGCAUAUUAAUUACCAUCAGAUGAACGUCCUGAUCGUCUCGUCCCUUAUUUGUAUGUAGUUAAGCAGAAAGGACUCAAACCACACAAAGGCAUUUUUGAGUUAUAGGUAUUUAAGUUUCAGCUCUUAAUAAUCUUCCAUAUAAGUAUCCUAUAUAAAUAUCAAAAAACAAACAGUUUCCAUUUUAAAAUAGGGUUUUCUCUACAUGACAGAUUCGAUCUUGAGGAGUACGAUGGCAUACUUGACUAGUGUGGUUUAAGUCAUUCUGCUUAACUACAUCCAUUUAUGUUAUGUUAAUAAUAACAUAAAAAAAACACUCUGGUGUCUGAUAACUCAUUCUUUUGUAAUACAUGUUUUAUAGAAUUUAUAGUACUUUAUUCUUUAAUUUUCCAUUUGCAUAUUUUGUUUUGUUCUUCUGAAGCUCAUAGACCAAAGUCAUUCCCAUAUUUUGCCUUUGUCCCACUUAUUUUGGGACACACAGUAUGAAAAAUAUGGAUCUUUGUUAUCUGUAAAUAAAUUA
Leptidea sinapis is the source of this 2620-nucleotide long non-coding RNA. RefSeq lists it as uncharacterized. The transcript has 7 exons. NCBI's taxonomy places the organism in Eukaryota, Metazoa, Arthropoda, Insecta, Lepidoptera, Pieridae. The record is from RefSeq and is a predicted model, not a curated record.